RNAcentral lists this ribosomal RNA (449 nucleotides) under uncultured bacterium. Its description in RNAcentral is "partial 16S ribosomal RNA". It matches the Rfam family "Bacterial small subunit ribosomal RNA", at positions 29 to 523 of the family's 1533-position model. The record is from RNAcentral.
AACGAACGCUGGCGGCAUGCCUAACACAUGCAAGUCGAACGAAGCCUUCGGGCUUAGUGGCGCACGGGUGCGUAACGCGUGGGAAUCUGCCCUUUGGUUCGGAAUAACAGUUGGAAACGACUGCUAAUACCGGAUGAUGACGAAAGUCCAAAGAUUUAUCGCCAGAGGAUGAGCCCGCGUAGGAUUAGCUAGUUGGUGUGGUAAAGGCGCACCAAGGCGACGAUCCUUAGCUGGUCUGAGAGGAUGAUCAGCCACACUGGGACUGAGACACGGCCCAGACUCCUACGGGAGGCAGCAGUGGGGAAUAUAGGACAAUGGGCGAAGGCCUGAUCCAGCAAUGCCGCGUGAGUGAUGAAGGCCCUAGGGCUGUAAAGCUCUUUUACCCGGGAUGAUAAUGACAGUACCGGGAGAAUAAGCCCCGGCUAACUCCGUGCCAGCCGCCGCAGUAA